Molecule: long non-coding RNA, 296 nt
Filed under: Eucalyptus grandis
Lineage: Eukaryota; Viridiplantae; Streptophyta; Magnoliopsida; Myrtales; Myrtaceae
Description: long non-coding RNA (EGRA_LNC007296)
Source: RNAcentral
AACGCCCACCUCCCCACCAUGGCUACUGCAGCAAGUCCUUUCCUCGGCCUCGAACGGUCAUGGAGUCUCUCUUUGGUGUCCCCUUCCAUCGUCCUCCCUUCGAGUUCCUCCAGUGAGCUCCUUUCCGCGAAUUGCAGCCGCGACUAAUGCAGAGCCAUGUCCACUCGAGCUCUACCCUAGCCACAAGCUUCAAGGUCAAGAAGCCAUGACCGUGUCUAGAUUUGGAGCCUUGGUCGCAACAGAUUUGGAGCAUGACCACGCGUCUGAGUCAAAUCUAGAGGAAUUGGCCAUGAAUG